UACGAGGGGGGCAAGCGUUGUUCGGAGUUACUGGGCGUAAAGGGUGCGUAGGCGGCUUUUUAAGUUUGGUGUGAAAUCUCCCGGCUCAACUGGGAGGGUGCGCCGAAUACUGAGAGGCUAGAGUGUGGGAGAGGAAAGUGGAAUUCCUGGUGUAGAGGUGAAAUUCGUAGAUAUCGAGAGGAACACCGGCGGCGAAGGCGGCCAACUGGACGAACACUGACGCUGAGACACGAAAGCGUGGGGAGCAAACAGG
Molecule: ribosomal RNA, 253 nt
Filed under: uncultured bacterium
Lineage: Bacteria
Description: partial 16S ribosomal RNA
Rfam family: Bacterial small subunit ribosomal RNA
Source: RNAcentral